UACGGGGGGGGUAAGCGUUGUUCGGAAUUACUGGGCGUAAAGGGCUCUUAGGCGGCCAACUAAGUCGGACGUGAAAUCCCUCAGCUUAACUGGGGAACUGCGUCCGAUACUGGAUGGCUUGGAUUUGGGAGAGGGAUGCGGAAUUCCAGGUGUAGCGGUGAAAUGCGUAGAUAUCUGGAGGAACACCGGUGGCGAAGGCGGCAUCCUGGACCAAUAUUGACGCUGAGGAGCGAAAGCCAGGGGAGCAAACGGG
Molecule: ribosomal RNA, 253 nt
Filed under: uncultured bacterium
Lineage: Bacteria
Description: partial 16S ribosomal RNA
Rfam family: Bacterial small subunit ribosomal RNA
Source: RNAcentral